Molecule: long non-coding RNA, 245 nt
Filed under: Elaeis guineensis (African oil palm)
Lineage: Eukaryota; Viridiplantae; Streptophyta; Magnoliopsida; Arecales; Arecaceae
Description: long non-coding RNA (EGUI_LNC017767)
Source: RNAcentral
AGUGGAAUGGGAAUGUAUCAAUCUAUAUAGAACUCAAUCCCUACUCUUCUCUAUGGAUUCAAUUUUUCAUUCCAAUUUCAAUUUCGAUUCUGAUUUCGAUCACGAACCAAAUGCUUCGAAGGAUUUGGCCAUUUCGAUUCUGAUUCCAAACUAUUCCGAUUCUCAUUUUCAUUCAGAUUUCGGUUACGAACCAAACACCCCCAUAUUUUCUAAACUAAAAAAUAUUUCCUUUUGAUUUUAUUUAU